Molecule: ribosomal RNA, 470 nt
Filed under: Vibrio harveyi
Lineage: Bacteria; Pseudomonadati; Pseudomonadota; Gammaproteobacteria; Vibrionales; Vibrionaceae
Description: bacterial SSU rRNA
Rfam family: Bacterial small subunit ribosomal RNA (bases 80-470)
Source: RNAcentral
CUUCGGGAACUCUGAGACAGGUGCUGCAUGGCUGUCGUCAGCUCGUGUUGUGAAAUGUUGGGUUAAGUCCCGCAACGAGCGCACAAAGGGGGCGAGCAUGUGGUUUAAUUCGAUGCAACGCGAAGAACCUUACCUACUCUUGACAUCCAGAGAACUUUCCAGAGAUGGAUUGGUGCCUUCGGGAACUCUGAGACAGGUGCUGCAUGGCUGUCGUCAGCUCGUGUUGUGAAAUGUUGGGUUAAGUCCCGCAACGAGCGCAACCCUUAUCCUUGUUUGCCAGCACUUCGGGUGGGAACUCCAGGGAGACUGCCGGUGAUAAACCGGAGGAAGGUGGGGACGACGUCAAGUCAUCAUGGCCCUUACGAGUAGGGCUACACACGUGCUACAAUGGCGCAUACAGAGGGCAGCCAACUUGCGAGAGUGAGCGAAUCCCAAAAAGUGCGUCGUAGUCCGGAUCGGAGUCUGCAACU